Molecule: long non-coding RNA, 5838 nt
Organism: Motacilla alba alba
Lineage: Eukaryota; Metazoa; Chordata; Aves; Passeriformes; Motacillidae
Exons: 2
Source: RefSeq, a predicted model, not a curated record
CCCGGCGCACAAAGAGCCCCGGCCCGCCCCCCCUUACCGGCGGUCGGCGCCGCGCUGCGGGGGCGGCGGCGGGCGGCUCCAGUCACGCCGGGAACCAUGGAAAGCAGCCGGGACGGGAGACAGACCAGAGCGGGACCGCGGACGGCAGCAGCUCAGAGCCUCCACUUCCCUCCUGGCUCUCCAAACCUUCCAGACAGGAAGAACUCCACACCGCUGGGCACCACGGGCUCCCACAGCACCCUGCCACAGCCAGAGACUGCUCGGGUGCACGGCUGUGGGUGCUGGAGCCCGAGCACAGGUGUGGGAUGGUCCAGAGCUCUCACAGGACAGCUCUUCGUGCUGAGAGUUGUUCUGCUCCAUCAUUUCAUCUGUGUCUGGCAGAUGAGCAGUCCUGGGUAAAGAUGUGGAAGGCUCUGACAGGGAACACAGAGUAGGAGUGGGAAUACUGGAGGCAAAGCUUCGGUUUUCAGCGCCUACUGAACAUGUGCCUCAUCAUUUUCUUCCCCAAGUUAGCGCAGAUCAGACUCUUCCGAGGCACAGCGCCUUGCAGUGAGCUUUGGUGGCUGCAAUCUCCUCCUAAUCCAGGCUUGUUUCAGGGAAAACAGGCAAUUUUAUAUCCCUUUGAUAUGGGUCUUAGCUGCUAAUGAUGCUAGGAAGUAAAAAGAAAUGGGCAUAGAAAUACACAACUAUGAAGAAUUAAAAUAGUGAAUUUAAUUCAGCCAAUUCCAAAAUCGGUAAUUCCCUGAAAAACAAACCUUGCACAGAAAACACAGAACAGAAACGGUUUCAUCUUGACAGCUGGUGAAAACAACUGGGUGAAAAGGUGAAUGGAAUAUUUCUGACUUGUCUGGAAAACACCAGGUUUCACACAUCCUGAAAAUGCCCUAUUUUUUACUAAAUGGGUCGGUUUGUGAGGCAGUGAUUGUAAAUGCUCUGCUAGGAAAGCACAGGUUUGUGCUCUGAACUGCAGAUGCCAAAUGUCUGGUUUUCAGAAAGCACUGAUGCUUCCCUAAAGGAAAAGUUCUAAUAAUCAUAGAAACUUGGAACGCUUCGGGCUGGAAGGGAAACUCACAGCUCAUCUCACUCUAAGCCCCCACCAGAGCAGGGACACAUUCCACUAGACUAGCCCAGAAACCUGAAGAACAACAACAAAAAAUGUAUUCUUUUCAAGAAUCACAAGCCUGGCUUGCCCAGCGGCCCCGAUUUGGGCUGCAGGGCGAUGCAGAGCGCGCUGCAAGGACGCGAGGCUGCGGCUGUCCCGGGCGUGUGGAGGGAGCUGGCCGGGCAGCCUGGCUCAGCUCCUCAGCACUGAAACACUCUUUCCAAAGCAACACCAAAAAAGGUUUGUUUCUAGGUCAGGACCUCAGCACUCAAUUUUAACCAGGGGCUGACAGUCCGGUCUGAGCACAGCUGUAAAAUGGAUUCGCGGGAGAAGCUUUGGCAUUCCUUUUGUAAUUAGGAAACGGCCACUGAGGCGUGUGCCUUUAAAGGUGAAAGCUAUUUUUGACAUAAAAAUUAGCACGCAGUUCCUCUGUCAUGCCUCGGCUGCUGCGCUGGGAGCUGCGAGUGAACAACCCAAAGAGAAGCAAGAAGUAUAAACAUGCUGAAUUAUACAAAUACGUAGAAGGGGAUCAGGUUUAAUUUGUUUUAUUCUCUGACAGUUAGGAGACAAGGAGAUUUAUUUUUACACUUUUUCUCCUAAAAAGCACUGGUUAAAAGGUCCACUUAAGCACUGAAACCCCAAUGGCAUUAAAAAACUUGAAGAGCUUUUAAUAGCUACCUUUUGAAAUUACUGUUAAAUCUAUUUUUGAGAUGGAUAAACUAAGCUACCAAUGAAGCAGGGCAGGAGUUUUUUGGAAGGGCCCAGCAGUGAGAAACUGUCAUUCAUUUCUCAACAACUCAGCUCGUGCACAGGGACCCUGAGAUAAAAACUACCACAGUGCUCGAUGCUUUAACAACCUGAGCAUUAUUUAAAUUCCAAUUUUCUCUCUUUGGUGGGAAUCUAACCCCGACAGCCUUGAAAAUGAACCCCAGGCAGUUUUCAGGAUACGGCUCAGAGUGGCUGUUUCUAAAAUAAAAGUGAGGGAAGAGCGAGCAGAACUUGGAGGCUUAUCAGCACCCGGAAUGCCCCGGCUAAUCCUCGGCAGCCCCGGCCCCUUUAUGUAACCUGGGAUUGCUGCAGCUCAGCAGCUUACUGGGGUCUGGCUGGUUUUCUUUAAACCUCUUGUGGACAAAUGCAAACACAUUAAAUACUUCUUUCUUUUGCCUCUCUAAGGAAAAAAAUUGUUGUAAGAGGGGGAAAAAGUGUUUUAUUUGUAUCAAUGGCAAAUAGAAUUAAACUGCUAUGCUGAGACUAAAACGUGUUUCUCUCUGAUCCAUCGUGACUGAACAGAACUUUCCCAAUUUACAACACUCGGGUGUAACGCUUGAAAAAAAGGCUGAAUCCCAAAUUUCUCUUCACCCCGAACACUCUCUGGAGGUGCUGGGGUGUUCCAAAUAAAGGGAAAACCAGCCCCUUUAUAGCCUGUACCCCAUUUCUGCAGCGUGGCUGGCUGUGCUGCAAUACUUACGUCCCCGUGGCCACCUCCCCGCGGCUCUCCUUGCCCGGAGGACGCCCUUCCGUGCCCUCCAUCUGCCUGCUCUGACUCUGCACAGCACACAUCCUUCCAAGGCAAAAUGCAGCUCUCCAGCUCUCGGCCGGCGCUAAGCCAUUCACCUCACGCUGAAUGCUCACGGAAACUUCAGAAGGAAAAAAAUAAACCCCCUAUUGAACUGCCUGCAAUCGGAGACCUGAAUGGGCUCGAUAUAAACCCCACUCGAACCAGCGGCAGCAAUAGGCUUCCCUGGAUGUUGGAUUCCAUCCAGCUUAAAAGUUUCCAUGAAAUAAACUAGGCUAAGCGCAUCAGCUGCAUAGGAACUAACUCGGUGUAACAGGAGCAUCUGUUCUUCACGUCCACCAUUUUCUCAGAGCCUGAACCCGGCGGCGCGAGGUGCCAGCGGAUGCCCGGCCGCGCCGGCACGGGCACGGGCACGGAUCAGCGGGGAGCAUGCACGUCGUAUAAACUACUGCACCAGGUAGCUUUUGUUUGUCAGAAAAACAGCUUAAUGUAUUUGCAAGGAUGGCAUUACAGAGCGAAGUCAACGUCCGCACUGAGACAGCAGAGGAGCACACCUCGGACCCAUUAAUACACGGUACAAAGCAAAUGUUUACCCAAGUACAAAUGAAACAGGUCGACAAUUAGCUAAUGCAGCUUUGUGGACAUAAACCAGGUACAGUCGAGCAGAACCAACAUAAAAUAAAAAGGAAACAGCCCUUUUCCUACGCCACGCUAAGAGCACCGUGGUUAGCGGUUUGGGAAGCCUCUGUCACGGUGAAAGAUUUCCUUGCCGGUGUUUAAUGUGUUUAUUCUACUGCUACACUGCUGGGAUAAAAAUAACAGCUGGCUGAACGAGGGACCCACUGUCAAUACUGCAGUAAUUGACAACAUACAGUUAAGUCUCACACCUGUUUAUUGUAAGUAAUUCAUAGAUAACCACUUCUAGUACACAUUUUCAUAUUGGCUUUUAAUGCUUUUGUUCUCUUUUUCUUUUUUUUCAAGCUCAGGGAUACCCAAAUUUCACCUAAGGGUCGUCACUGUGGUUACCCAGACCCAGAAGGCUGUACCUACUUUGGGAGACUGGCUGGUGCAAGGUGGUGUGGUGGCCAGGGAUGGCAGAGAUGGCUGGGGAACUACAGGUCCCAACAUGCAGGACGGUGUGGAGGUGGCAGCGGGGCCGGGGCAGCGGGGCUGGGGACAUGCUGGCGGGCUGGCCGUGCGCGCCGGGCUCUACACAGGGCCAAAACAAAGACCUCUAACACCUGGAGUAAGAACAGUGGUAACAAAGUCAUAGCUACAUAUUCUUCUCUACAUUUUUGUUUAUUGAGACAAACUAAUUAAAAGGCACAAACAUAGGGCAUAUGUUUACAUGGACAUUAUAACAAACAUAUACAUUAAAAGUGUAGGAAUGUGUUUCCUUUCUGCUAAACAGAAAGUUCCUAAGCUUUUAUAUAUACAAAAGUUGUACAAUUUGAUGUCCUAAAGUACAAAAGAUCAUUUAUAAAAUUAUUUUACACUAAGCUCUAUUAUUUUUUUUGUUUGUUUUUGUUUUACUAUGUAGUCCAAGCCCCUAGAACAGUUUCACGUAAGGAUACAGAUACCUGUCACCUGAGCCAGCAGCCUGGCAAUCACUGCUCACGGACACGGCCGGGGAGGAACGGAAGCAGUCCAGUGUGACUGGUCAGUCCUGCUAGCACUCUGUGAAAAUGCACACGCUAAUCUCCAGAGCUCUCAAAUUCAUUAAGAUAAAAACAUCUCAACUGUAAUUUCUUUUUUUUUUUUUCCUCUUUUUUUUUUAUUUUAUUUAAUGUAGAGGUUGGGUUUAGGGUGGUUCGUUUUUUUUUUUAAACAAAGUUUUAAAAAUGUGAAUAUGUGACAUGAUAGUCUAAAAAGUAUAUCUGUUUCCCUAGACUUUGCUUUCUACUUUAUGUACAGAUAAACAGGUUAAGAAAAAAAAGCACAUGUAGCUUAAACAUGUGUGACCAUUUAUGAGCAGUUCUGGGCUGGACAGCUCAGCACCCCAGAACUCCCACAAAUUGAUAGAAAUGUGUUAACACAAUAGAAGGAUAACGUAAAAAUGAUGAUGUUUGCAAAUAUUUACAAAGUUGAACAGAUUUGCACAACACUUGAUUAAGAAAUAGGGGAGAAAUUAAAAGACGCUCUCUGCUUGUCCUGGAGGGGCAUCCUACCUAGUUAGUGGUUAGAAUAAAAACUGUAUACAAUUUAAUAUAAGACAAAACUUCUAGUGAACAACUAACACGUCUGUCCCCUGCUGAAACACCAGCAGGCUCUGACUGGGAGGCAGAGGGCAUAAAAAUCACACCCAGGGCCUCCAGAAUCUUCCAGCUUAAAGCAAUUUUCCUUAAGUUUCCAAGCACUCCUUUUGCUCCUAGAUAAGAGUCCCAUGGGGGUCUGACUGUUCAGAGACCAUGUUUACAUACAUUUCGACUCCUCUUCUGUCAGCCAUGGCUGUUUCUCACCAAACAAUAACAGGUUUUUUUUUUAAAAAAUGUUGACUACAAUGCUCUAUUCCCUUAGGGUAAUAUGUUGGGUAAUAUUUACAUCUCCAAAUAUCAGGUCACAAUCCCUAUUAUAUGUUGAAGUUAGAAUGAUAAGUUAUCAUAUGCUUUGCAUAUCAGAGCUGGUAUCACCUUUCCCAUAGGGAAUGCUGCCUGAAAUUACCAUAUUCCCAAAGGUAAAAUGCAUAUUUUCUCCAAAAAUGCAUUUUUUUUUUUUAAAUGACAACAUUGUAAUGCAUUUACUAAUUAAAGAAAAAAACAAAAACCAAAACAUCAACACAGACAAAGGUUCUACACUAGCUCAGAAACAGUGGACUUGCCUGGCAGGUUCAAAUGAGCCAUCCACCCUGUCACAGAUACAGAGGGGUCUUCGCUAGUGUUUAGAUUAAAAUGAUUUUCUAAGUUAUAAUUUGAGGGGAUAAAACAUAAAACUGGUUUUUAAUUACCUUUUUUUUUUUUGGUAUUUUUUCCUUUUUUUUAACUCUGGCAAAUAAGUAUCUGCUCUAAUUCAGCAUCAGUCAGCUACAAUGUAAAACUUACUUUAAAUGAAGUGCUCCAGUGAAACUCAAGCCUGAACCAUGUGAGCCAAAUCAAGGGGAAGAUGCUACUGUGGUCUCUGAUGGUGCUGCCCCAGUGUCUUAUCUGAAUUUAUUAUUAACUAAAACAAAACAAAACAAAAAAACCCAACAGAACAAAACAAAACAAAACAAAACAAAACAAAA